UACAGAGGGGGCAAGCGUUGUUCGGAAUUACUGGGCGUAAAGGGCGCGUAGGCGGCCUUCUAAGUCGAACGUGAAAUCCCCGGGCUCAACCCGGGAACUGCGUCCGAUACUGGAAGGCUUGAAUCCGGGAGAGGGAUGCGGAAUUCCAGGUGUAGCGGUGAAAUGCGUAGAUAUCGUGAGGAACACCAGAGGCGAAGGCGGUUACCUGGACAGUUACUGACGCUCAGGCACGAAAGCAUGGGGAGCAAAAGGG
RNAcentral lists this ribosomal RNA (253 nucleotides) under uncultured bacterium. RNAcentral's name for it is "partial 16S ribosomal RNA". It matches the Rfam family "Bacterial small subunit ribosomal RNA", at positions 524 to 776 of the family's 1533-position model. The record is from RNAcentral.